UAAAACCAUGACAGAAAUAAUCCCUAAAGCAGUGGAAGAAUGUUAUUUUCUCAGACGAGUCAUCCUUUACCUUAUUUCCGACCACCUGCCGAGUAUAUGUGUAGAGACAGUCAAAAGAAGCAUUUGACCCAGUCUGCUUUCUUCCAACUG
This is a long non-coding RNA of Octopus sinensis (East Asian common octopus), 150 nucleotides long. RefSeq lists it as uncharacterized. The transcript is spliced from 3 exons. Lineage: Eukaryota; Metazoa; Mollusca; Cephalopoda; Octopoda; Octopodidae. The record is from RefSeq and is a predicted model, not a curated record.